CACAGCGAUAUAUGUGCACCUAUGUUUAUAGUGGCACAAUUUGUAAUAGCUAAAGCUUGGAAACAGCCCAAGUGCCUAUCGACUGGAAACUGGAUAAAGAAGAGGACUGGGGCCAGGUUCAUCUGUGGGAACAGCGGAAGGGAACAGAAACAGUGAGCAUCAGUUCUGAGAUUCUGGCUGCUCCUGCUAACCUGUGGGCUCUGCGGCUGUGGACUCAGCUGACUGCAGAUGGAACAUGCAGUCAGGCCUAUAGGGGUUGCCCCUCUACUGAACACAGACAAGUGUGGUCAAAAGUGCCCACAGGGAGAGAAAGAAGCCCCUCUACCCCAGGGUUCCUAAGCAAACAUCAGCACUGAAGCCCAGGUGGCAGCUGGGUGCCCUGAGCGCCACUACAGUACCAGCCCCAGCCAAGGUACAAUAACGACUCCUUUGUUUCCGGGAGUUCUCAGUAGGGUCAGCUACAGGAUUUUCUCCAUAGCUAGGAGGUUUAGGAAAGGUGUCUCCAAAGGCACAAGCAGGGCUAUUGUACCCCAGUACCCCAGUGAGCUCUGAGGAGCAGCCACCCAUCAAGGACAACCUGGGUAGGGGUGAUACUUAUGACAUGGGUAGACCUGGACCCUUCUGUGAAAUCAGAGUGGUCUUAACUUUGUCUAUGACAGUGGAGGACCAUCCUUCUACAUUUGCAUUUCAUGGCAUGGAAGUUGGGCUGCUCCAGGGAGGCAGUGAAGAGAGGGAGAAAGAGCUCAGAAUGUGGAGCAGUACCAAUCUGGAUUUCCUUUUCCAUAAACACUUACUGGCUAUUGACUUUGCCCAAAGUGCUGAACUUCUCUGAGCUCAGCUUCUUCCUUUUACAACCACACCAACUUCUGAGAGCUGCUGUGGUAUUCAUUAGGAUGAGGGUAACACACAUAGCCCAGGACCUGGCAUAAUUAUAGCACACUGGCUGCUUGUGUGUAAGGAAGCUGGAUGAGAC
This 973-nucleotide long non-coding RNA is filed under the name Heterocephalus glaber (naked mole-rat). RNAcentral's name for it is "lncRNA (ENSHGLG00000049829.1)". Lineage: Eukaryota; Metazoa; Chordata; Mammalia; Rodentia; Bathyergidae. The record is from RNAcentral.